UAAAUAAAUAAAAUAAAUAAAUAAAAAAUCAUUCACAAUGUUCUUUGACAUCGAGAAUGGGUCCCCAAGACCUAGGGCUCAAUUUCACCCACCUUCAUGCACCAAAGUACCUCAACCGCUCUACAAUACACCUUUCCUAACACGAAGAAGAUCAACUCUUGAAACAAUGAAGUAGACAAGAGAAACAUUUACAAAGAACCGUGGAAAGAUCACAAGUACAAAGGAAGAACAAUUGUGAGAGAGUAAAAAAAGAAAAAAACAAGUGAGACCCCAAGAGCAAAAAUGAGAGAAUGAAGUGUAAAAUUAGCUAGGCUUCCUACUUUAUAUAGGAGGACCCACAACUGUUGAUUAAAUGAGAAUCCAAGGACCACAACGGCACAACCUAUCCCUAUCCUCACUAUAAAAUAUCACUGAGCAACCCUUAUAAAGUGUUAAACUCAAAAUGAUACUUCUUAUUUUUAGACUGGGUCAUUGGGUAAUAUUGGUGUGAAAUGUUCGAGCCUUUUACUUCUUCAAUUAUUGAAGUCCAGAUAUUGUUACAGCAUCCAAUUGCAAAAGAAAUCCAUUCACAAGGUUCUUUGACAUGGAGAACGGGUCCACAAGACCUAGGGCUCAAUUUUGCCCACCUUUCACACACCAAAGUACCCUCAACCACACUUCCAUACACCAAUGCGAAGAAGAUCAACUCUUGAAACAACGAAGUAGACAAAAGAAACAUUUAGAAAGAACAGUAGAUAGAUCACGAGUACAAAGGAAGAACAACUGUGAGAGAGUAAAAAAAAAGAAAAAAACAAGAGAGACACCGCAAGCAAAUAUGAGAGAACGAAGUGCAAAAUUAACUAGGCUUCCUACUUUAUAGAGGAGGACGCACAACCGCUGAUUAAAUGAGAAUCGAAGGACCACAAUGGCACAACCUAUCCC
This 921-nucleotide long non-coding RNA is filed under the name Olea europaea subsp. europaea. Lineage: Eukaryota; Viridiplantae; Streptophyta; Magnoliopsida; Lamiales; Oleaceae. The record is from RNAcentral.